Molecule: long non-coding RNA, 2114 nt
Organism: Passer domesticus (house sparrow)
Lineage: Eukaryota; Metazoa; Chordata; Aves; Passeriformes; Passeridae
Exons: 10
Source: RefSeq, a predicted model, not a curated record
GCGCCCCUUGCCGCCCCUCAGGCGCGCGCGGGGCGGCUCCUGAGGGAAGGUGGGGGCAGGCGCUGGUCCUCCUUUAUUUUAACCUCUUUUCCAGGAGUUUCUAGACUGCAGCAAAGUGCAGAUGACUUGAGAGUGAAAAUUUUUGUUGCUUCUGAAAGUAAUAUUUUAUGAGCUACAGUUUUAUCAGUGCUGCGUGCUCUUCCUUCAGCACAUUAUCCAUCUUAUGUGGAGCUGCAGAUGGAGCCAGAAUCUGCUGCUGCUUCCCACACAAUCCAGUGGCACCAGUGUCCCUGCCCUGUCCAGCCACCUUUGGGCAGGAAUGAAGGACCUGCUGGAGGUGGAUCUUCACCGGGGUGGGACAAGUGAGGAUGUGAGCUGAAGGACAUGAGGCUGCAAAGCACCAGUAAGAGAAGAUAACCAUGAAAUCUCUGGAGAUGGGAAUGCCACGGUUUCAGGGCCUUGUUUCUGUAGCUGCUCCAAGUCAGACUACUCAAAGUGAACCAGGAUUGGAUCCAGCACCCUGCAGGAUCAGACACUGAACCAUCUGGAACAUCCACCUCCAAACCUGGAGCUGCAAACCCACUCCUGCAGCCAGCAACGCUGCAAGUCCAGCAGGUUCCCACAUGAGCUCACUUGACUUGCAAAGGUUUGGAGCUGAAGCAGUUUUUGGUGCCUGGGAGCAGCCCAGAGAAGGGGCAGCAGAGGAUCCAAAGCUGGUAAGGAAUACAGAUCUAUAUGGAAAUGACUAAGAAGAAAGGGAAUUAUGAAAGUUCAGUGAGCACUGAAUGAAAGCAAAAUGAAAACUGGAUGUCACCAAGAAAGAAAAAUGUCACCAUUUGAAUUCAGGAGGAGAAAAGCACCAAGGGAUGCAAAAUGAAGGAGUUGGCACUCUAUCAGAGAUGUCCAGACCCUGCAACAGCAGUCCCAGAGUCACUGGACAAAGGCUUUGGUGUUUGCCUCAUGCAGAGUGUGCAGUGCUGGACCCUGGAUUAAAGAUUACACUUGGCACAGGGAGUCCCUCCAUCCCAGGAACUGUCCCAGAUGGGUUGUUCAUUUCACCCUGCACAUCUCCCAUCAGAGCAGGGCUGAUCCUGCCCAAGCUGACCCAGAGAACUGAGCUCAUGUCUGUUUGCCUGCUUGGGAAAGCCAGGAGAAAACAUUCCAAAGAAAAUCUGCCCAGACUAAAGGGAAGUUGUUCAAAGCAUGGGAGUCUCCAGGACUGAGCAGAAGAGGAUCUGUGCAGCCAAAAUAAAUGUGAGGAAUAGCAGGAAGGUUCCUGUGCUGCCUCACACAACUGGCUCAGCCACACUCUGGCUUUCCUUCACCACUGGAAAAGAAGCAGGUUAUUUUGCUUUCUCACAGUGAAGCAAACCAAGACUUUUCCAGAAAGAUCAGUAAGAUCUCUACCUUUAUAAAACAUGCAGUGUGGGAGCAGCUUUCAGUCUGCCUUUUUUCCCCCAGAUUCCAUCACAAAAUGUGUAAACAGCCAGAAGAAAAUAAAUGUUCUCAGCCGUACAAUGGACAAUUCAAAGACAGGCUAUUGUCUUCAGCCAAGCACAGCCUUAAACCUGUGUGAACGAGAGGCAAAGCUUGUCCCGAGUGUGUAAACAUGAAAAUAACUCAGACAUGAUCCAUUUCCAGAGAAAAAAUGUGGCAGGCCAAAAGGUUACCUGAUUCUCUCUGCUUUACACUGUGUAAUAGCUUAAAUUGUGUUUUAAAGGUCCUCAGGCUGACAUCAUUGUUUACAUUGACUUGAAUCAUUCUUUAAUUGUAACAAACCCCUUCCAAGCAGCCCAGCUCGGUGCUGCUGUGUCAUGCAGAGAGCUGACACCACUGCCUUGCCUCAUCCACAUCCAGAAAGAGCUGGGGAGAGAGGUCUUGUGUCAGAAACAGAGCUGGGAAAAGAGACCUUGCCUCAGAAAGAGCUGGGAAAAGAGACCUUGCCUCAGAAAAAAGUUGGGAAAAAAGACCUUGCCUCAGAAAGAGCUGGGAAAAGCAUUUCUCCCCACACCUGUGUUCUGCAUUAUUCUUUCUCCUGAUGCCCCUCCUGGGUGAGGAAGCACAGCAGUGGAAGCUCCUGAAAUCCCUUCCUUUCCCUCUGUAAAUCAUUAUGA